This 112-nucleotide ribosomal RNA is filed under the name Caerostris darwini. The record is from RNAcentral. Lineage: Eukaryota; Metazoa; Arthropoda; Arachnida; Araneae; Araneidae.
AACGGCCGUACCAUGCGGAAUAUACCGGUUCUCGUUCGAUCACCGAAGUCAAGCAUCAUUGGGCGCGGUCAGUACUUGGGUGGGUGACCACCUGGGAACACUGCGUGCCGUU